CAAAGGCUUGGUCCUGACUUUAUUAUCAGUAUUAGCUGAGUUUAUACAUGCAAGUCUCCGCACCCCUGUGAGGAUGCCCACAACUUUCUAAUGAGAACUAGGAGCUGGUAUCAGGCUCAUAAUACGCCCACGACGCCUUGCUCAGCCACACCCCCAAGGGUCUACAGCAGUGAUAAAUAUUAAGCCAUAAGUGAAAACUUGACUUAGCAGCAGCUUACAGGGCCGGUAAACCUCGUGCCAGCUACCGCGGUGAUACGGAGGGCCCAAAUUGAUAAAUACGGCGUAAAGGGUGGUUAGAUUUACUUAAAACUAGGGCCGAACUCUCCCCUGACUGUUGUACGUUACGGAAUGAAGAAAACCAUAAACGAAAGUAGCCCUAAUCUAUUUGAACCCACGAAAGCUAGGAAACAAACUGGGAUUAGAUACCCCACUAUGCCUAACUAUAAACCCCGAUAAUACAACACAUAUUAUCCGCCCGGGUAUUACGAGCAUAAGCUUAAAACCCAAAGGACUUGGCGGUGCUUUAAACCCCCCUAGAGGAGCCUGUUCUACAACCGAUAAUCCCCGUUAAACCUUACCCUUUUUUGUUCUUUCCCGCCUGUAUACCUCCGUCUCCAGCUUACCCUGUGAAGGAUUAAUAGUAAGCACAACUGGUUUCACCCCCUAAACGUCAGGUCGAGGUGCAGCGCAUGAAAGGGUUAGUAGUGGGCUACAUUUACUAUUUUAGUAUAUACGAACAAAGUGCUGAAACACCACUUUCAAAGGAGGAUUUAGCAGUAAGAGGGGAACAGAGUGCCCCCCUGAAGUCGGCCAUAAAGCGCGUACACACCGCCCGUCACUCUCUCCAAAUAAUAGCAUUCCACUACUUAAGAUGACAAAACCUUUUAUUACCCGGAGAGACAAGUCGUAACAUGGUAAGCGUACCGGAAGGUGCUCUUGGAAAAU
This 945-nucleotide non-coding RNA is filed under the name Synchiropus altivelis. RNAcentral's name for it is "Foetorepus altivelis 12S rRNA". It matches the Rfam family "Bacterial small subunit ribosomal RNA". The record is from RNAcentral. Lineage: Eukaryota; Metazoa; Chordata; Actinopteri; Syngnathiformes; Callionymidae.